Molecule: ribosomal RNA, 619 nt
Filed under: uncultured bacterium
Lineage: Bacteria
Description: bacterial SSU rRNA
Rfam family: Bacterial small subunit ribosomal RNA (bases 1-519)
Source: RNAcentral
CCUACGGGAGGCAGCAGUGGGGAAUCUUGCGCAAUGGGCGAAAGCCUGACGCAGCAACGCCGCGUGCGGGAUGAAGGCCUUCGGGUUGUAAACCGCUUUCAGCAGGGAAGAAAUUGACGGUACCUGCAGAAGAAGCCCCGGCCAACUACGUGCCAGCAGCCGCGGUAACACGUAGGGGGCGAGCGUUGUCCGGAUUUAUUGGGCGUAAAGAGCUCGUAGGCGGUUCGGUAAGUCGGGUGUGAAACCUCCAGGCUCAACCUGGAGACGCCACCUGAUACUGCUGUGACUAGAGUCCGGUAGGGGAGUGUGGAACUCCUGGUGUAGCGGUGAAAUGCGCAGAUAUCAGGAAGAACACCAGCGGCGAAGGCGGCACUCUGGGCCGGUACUGACGCUGAGGAGCGAAAGCGUGGGUAGCAAACAGGAUUAGAUACCCUGGUAGUCCACGCCGUAAACGUUGGGCACUAGGUGUGGGUCUCAACCACGAGAUCCGUGCCGCAGCUACGCAUAAGUACGCCCGCCGUCGGGUAGGUACGGCCGGCGACGGACGUAAACCGUACGAAAGUAGAAGUUAAGUACGGCGUUGAGACGUUGCCGAACGGCGACCGACGAGGGGAGGAGG